Long non-coding RNA from Pipistrellus kuhlii (Kuhl's pipistrelle), 857 nucleotides. RefSeq lists it as uncharacterized. NCBI's taxonomy places the organism in Eukaryota, Metazoa, Chordata, Mammalia, Chiroptera, Vespertilionidae. The record is from RefSeq and is a predicted model, not a curated record. The transcript has 3 exons.
AUGAUUCUCUAAUCGAUGUUUCUAACUCUCUGUCCCUCUCUCUUCCUCUCUGUUAAAAUAUAUGUAGUAGAUGCCUCCUACAUAGCCCCAUAGUGGCCAGGAUCAAACCUGCAAAUUAGAACCACCAAAUCACGCGGUCUUUCAAGGUCCAGGGAAGUCAUGCACUAUAUGCCAAUAUCCGUCAAAGAGUGAUUGUCUGGCAUUAUACUGUCCCUCCUAAAGCACAGAAAUGAUGGUAUCCACACAAUAUCUGUUCACUCCGAAUGAUGAUGAUCACAAUUGUGCUUGAAAAUCAUCCCUGGAUGUGACUAUAACAAAAAACAAACAAACAAAAAAAGGUACAAAAGAAAAAGAAAAAACACCUUUACUAAAAGAUCAUAAACCAGAACAGAGGACAGAAAGCAUUUGGUAGCCUGGUGAAUGAGAACUUGAAACAAUCCAUCACAUCACAAUGUGAGUACCACGAUGUCCCUGAAAGAGGUACCGUGUUUCCCCGUAAAUAAGACAUCCUCCGAGAAUAAGGCCUAGCGCAUGGAAAGAUAAGACAUCUCCUGAAAAUCAGACCUAGCGCAACUUUGGGAGAAAAAAAUUAAUAUAAGACACUGUCUUAUUUUCGGGGAAACAGGGCAGUGCUUCUUGGCUGAGAAGGGGUUGCUCUGGAUGAGUCCUGGGUCAGGUCCAUUUUCUUCUCACAGAGAAAUGAAUGAAUGAAGAUACCGCCAAGAGCUUGGAGGAACCAUAAUUACUUCCAGCAGAAGUGAGGACACGGGCCGAAACCGGUGUGGCUCAGUGGAUAGAGCGUUGGUCUGCGGACGGAAGGGUCCAGGGUUCAAUUCCAGUCAGGGGCAUGUACCUGG